AGAGUUUGAUCCUGGCUCAGAUUGAACGCUGGCGGAACGCUUUACACAUGCAAGUCGAACGGUAACGUGGGGAGGAGCUUGCUCCACCCCGACGACGAGUGGCGAACGGGUGAGUAAUACAUCGGAACGUGUCCGCUCGUGGGGGACAACCAGCCGAAAGGUUGGCUAAUACCGCAUGAGUUCUACGGAAGAAAGAGGGGGACCCGCAAGGGCCUCUCGCGAGCGGAGCGGCCGAUGACUGAUUAGCCGGUUGGUGAGGUAACGGCUCACCAAAGCAACGAUCAGUAGCUGGUCUGAGAGGACGACCAGCCACACUGGGACUGAGACACGGCCCAGACUCCUACGGGAGGCAGCAGUGGGGAAUUUUGGACAAUGGGCGCAAGCCUGAUCCAGCUAUUCCGCGUGUGGGAUGAAGGCCCUCGGGUUGUAAACCACUUUUGUAGAGAACGAAAAGACAUCUUCGAAUAAAGGAUGUUGCUGACGGUACUCUAAGAAUAAGCACCGGCUAACUACGUGCCAGCAGCCGCGGUAAUACGUAGGGUGCGAGCGUUAAUCGGAAUUACUGGGCGUAAAGGGUGCGCAGGCGGUUGAGUAAGACAGAUGUGAAAUCCCCGAGCUUAACUCGGGAAUGGCAUAUGUGACUGCUCGACUAGAGUGUGUCAGAGGGAGGUGGAAUUCCACGUGUAGCAGUGAAAUGCGUAGAUAUGUGGAAGAACACCGAUGGCGAAGGCAGCCUCCUGGGACAUAACUGACGCUCAGGCACGAAAGCGUGGGGAGCAAACAGGAUUAGAUACCCUGGUAGUCCACGCCCUAAACGAUGUUAACUAGUUGUUGGGAUGUAACAAUCUCAGUAACGCAGCCAACGCGAGAAGUUAACCGCCUGGGAAGUACGGUCGCAAGACUAAAACUCAAAGGAAUUGACGGGGACCCGCACAAGCGGUGGAU
This 945-nucleotide ribosomal RNA is filed under the name human gut metagenome. RNAcentral describes it as "bacterial SSU rRNA". It matches the Rfam family "Bacterial small subunit ribosomal RNA", at positions 8 to 937 of the family's 1533-position model. The record is from RNAcentral.